This is a long non-coding RNA of Toxorhynchites rutilus septentrionalis, 7601 nucleotides long. RefSeq lists it as uncharacterized. Lineage: Eukaryota; Metazoa; Arthropoda; Insecta; Diptera; Culicidae. The record is from RefSeq and is a predicted model, not a curated record. The transcript has 3 exons.
ACCUUUGCGAUCUAUUGAGAAAUGCUCGAGUUAUAAGCGUUCCAAAUCUUGCAUUUUUUCCUACUUGUUCAGUGCCUAGAUUUCCAUUUCACCCCCUAUAUCUUCCGGUUAGACGUAGUCCUACGUCAAAAUAUCAAGAAGCAACUAUAAAAUAGUGAAAAAAAAUUGAGAAAGUUUGUAAAAAAACGCAAAAACACAACAUCAAAGGUUCUUUUCAGAACCUCCAACAUGUUCAUAAAGAGUAAACAGCGAACUAAUCCAUUUUUCAGUUAGAUAGGUAGAUAUUCACGUAGGAGAAGAAAAUAAAACAAUAUAUUUAAAAUAUAUAUUUUGCGAAAGGUGUCACCUUUGUAUAGUCCUACGUCACUCCGGUUAUGUCCCCGACAUUACCCACCCGUCUUUUUUCCUUCAUCAUAUCUUUUGAAUAUCAGUUCAAUCGUAGACAUGAAGAAGUUUAGAGGUUUGUACAUACGGGAUAGGUGUUGCCUUAAAAGGAACCAUCUUCAUAAAUAAUUCACAUUAAUCUCAAUUUCUCAAAAUUAUUCUUUCUUCACAGCUACUAAUGGGACAACGAUCGGAAGGCCGGAAUGCAUUUCUAAUCAAUUUAGUAUCAUAAGAUUUUACAAACCAAUUCAUUCAACAGAUGCUUUCGACAUAAGGCGAUAGUAAUAGUAAUAGUAAUAGUAAUAGUAAUUUAGUUUUUCGCGUUCCGUCUGUUACGGAUGGAUCACGAAAUAACCAGUGUUUUCUACACUUGAAGGUUAAAUCCUUGGUUUCCCAAGAAUCUAACAAGGUCUACGGAUGCCUCGCCUUCGUUUCAUCCACAUCGAAGGAAACGAUCUCAUUCGUGGAAUCCGAAGAAAUGAAGCGUUCAAGUUUGCCCCAAAACGUGCGAUCCUUAGUGUGUUAAGUAAAUAUCGAACUAACAUUCCUUCCCCUUCCCCAACAGUUGCAAGGAGCAAGCAAUGGAUGGAGGCUAGUUUUUAACUUAAGGUGAAGGUGGAAGCUAGCCAUUGUAGUAGUAUAGGUAAACCCUCGUGUAAAAAUGGGGUAAUAGUGUUUGUGAGAAAAGAGCAAAGCACACGUAAAUAGAUCAAUUCACUUAUCAGACUGUGUGGCGCUUCAUUGACACGAGUCUUUGAAUACAUUUGAAAAAAAAAAACAAAUAACAAUUCAAUACUUAAGUAAAAUGUAUGAACGAUAUGUUCCGAUGAACAAUUGCAAAUAUAAAUAUAUAUAGAAGGUGCAUUUGCAUAUGAUUCUGAUUAUACGCGAGCGUAACAUGAGCAAAUUUAUAACACAUGCGAAUUGGGGCACUUUUGGUAUUAACAAGUUCUUCCGCAUAGUAACUCGAUGUUGAUAAUUCCUUAAUAUUUUCCUUCGUUGAUCGUAAUGUUUUCACAUAUUCACGUUGGAAAGCCUUAACCCUUCUCUUCGUUGGCCGAGGCAUUUAGAUUGAAUUUAAUACUUUUCCGUUUACUGUUUUUGAAAGCAUAGGCAACAAUUUUCUUACCCAAUGUUAAAGUUGCUAAAACUUACAUUAUAGACCCAUUAAACGUAAAAAUAAUAAUUGUAUUGAUAUCAACACAAUUUUAUUCUAUUGAUUUUCAUGACAUGGGACGCUAUGACUCCGGAAUAACAUUUUAUUGAGUGGUUUUUAUAGCUGUUUCGAUGAUGUUGUUCGGAAUCAGUGUCGAAAAAAUAACGAUGCUUCCACCAAUACAAACAAAACCAUUGCAGAAGAUUGAAAAACGAAAAUUUAACUUUCAGAGCACUUGCUCGAGUUUUCCGACGUUCUUCACUAUACGGUGCGAAAGCAGAUGAAAAUUUAAUAUCUUGUGAGUAAUCGAUUAGAGUUUGGUUGAUAUUACUUGAAGGGAAGUGUGCGAAAACGAUCAUUUUCUUCACACUGUUUCGCAAAAUUAUUGAUUUUCGUGCGAGAGGUGAGGGAGGGAGAUGAAAGAAAUGAGCGCCAUUGUGGCAGCCAUUUAUGGCUUGCUUCCACCUUCACUUUAACAGUUCUGAAUUUGUACCACCUACGAUAUUGUGCGACUUGCUCAAUGCUAAUGCUAAUGCUAAUAUUGUGCUCCUAUUGCAUCACAAGAAACAUGGCCUGUUGUACAACACGAUUUAUUGUUAAGCCCAUGCUACUAACAUUGUUUGCUUCAGUCUUCCGAAAAACACUUACACAGGUGUACGCGAUGUUCAAAUUCCAACAAAUUCUACAACAACAUGCUUUUCGCUAGUAUUCAAUGUUUAUCCCAAAAAAGCCUAAUUGUAACGAAAGUUUCCUGACCUUGACCAGACACUUUUAACUCCCCGGCUAUGAACGGGAGGGGACUCUUUGAGUCAUGCAGCCUUUCGUCUUAUGUUGGGACCAGAAGUAACUCAAAAGGGGAACAAACGUCCACAAAUAUCCAACUGUACACGGUUCUCUAGAAUCCGAAUCUCACUAACGGAGAGUCAAAGACCACUGCGCUAAUAACUUUGGACACUCUCUGCGAGCGAGGCCUGGGGGUUCUGGUCGAACCAGAGUGACGAACAAAAGGAAGAUAAUUGAGGGCUGUUUGUUGCGGAAUUGUUAUCAAAACCGUGUAUAUUUUUAACAAUCAUAUUUAUUCGUAGGGUUUGAUUUGUGGGGGAGUGUGUGAGUGGUUUAGUUGGUGAGUACUACCUGCUGUUUUCGGGAUUGGUUUCGAUGUUCUCUGCACUGCUAAUUAUCAUACGAUGAACGCUGGCCGGUAUCUGGAUGAAGCUGCGCCGUAUACUAUCGUCCUUCGUCAGGGCCUCUUUCUGCUCGACCUGCCUCAGCUUCUCCGUGCGGCCCGUUAGAAAAAAAGCCAAGUCAAAACAACCCGUUAAACGGACCCGACCAAUAGGUAGCAUUAGCACAUGUGCAUUACCAAUUUCAGUAUUAUCGGACCUUUUAAUUAUUUAUCUUUUAACGUGUUUGAUUUGAAUGAAUAAUGUGUACGUUGUUCCUUUGUAUUUAAUCAAUGGUACUGUUAAAGCUGUAGGUUAACAUUAGGUUGAGUUUUAACUAUCUGUUUUUUAAGCAUACUGGCUGGUUUCUUUUAAUUAUAUUAUUAUUAAAUUAAACCACAAACUUCUUAUUUAUAUACGUUUAAUCGUACAACAAAGCAACACUUAAUUCCUUUAAAAUUUGAAAUUACUUUUCACUGAGCGCCCUACUAUUCUCGGUGACAGUCGACGGCAGAAAGAACGAGCACAGGAUUGGCCGAGAAGGAAUAAAAAUAUUGUGAGAUCGAAUAUGAACAAAUGUCCUAUCGGAUUGGAAAGUUGUGUAAGUUCUUCAACUACUGGACGCAUAACUACACGGUUCAAGCUCCAUAACUCAUGUCCCAAGGUCCCUACAAAGAUUGGCUAAUCAUCUGUCCAAUGACAACCGAACGAAGAACAAGUAGUCGAGUUUCAGGUGAACCUUUUUGUGGCGUAGCUAUAAAUCUAGUUGGUGACCGAAGGUUAAACACUAACAUCGAGGAAGACAGAGGUCCAUCUGGAGACCAGCAGGGCGGUCUGUUCACGGGUCUCAAACACCUUCUUCCAUGCGCGUACAUUGUAUAGGGACGUUCCUACCCACAGUUAAGCAACUCAAAGGAGGGAAGGACGACAUUUCGGGGUUAUAGAGCUUUUACUGAUUUUUUUCUGAUAAAAUAUUAUUCACGGCACUCUGGUAGAGACUGCCAGUCAACGGAUAAUGCAGCUCCAAUACGUUGAAGGAAACUCGGGGAAACUGACACUGCGUCUUGAAAUUCGGCCCACCUGGUGGUCCUCCUGGUCGAGUGCGAAUCUCUUCCACAAUUCGCUCGAGUAACACUCCCCACUAUAGGCACUCGCACAUCACACGAAAACGGAGUUUCGCUUUUUUCCUCCUAAAACAUUUCUUUGUAGAAUAUUUUUUCACAGAAGCUAACUAGAAAUUUAGUUCGUAUUGCAAACAUUGCACAAACUCAGACGUUAUAAGUUCAUGCUCAUUUUGCAAGUCUGAUUAAAUGAUAUCCAUAGUUUUUUUUUUCCGUGAAAAGAAAACAUUCUCUGAAUAUAAAGAAGCUUUAGACGGCGCCAGUGGUUGUAUGGUUAGCGUAACAGCCUCACAAUCCGAUCGGCCUGGGUUCAAUCCCAGCUGGCGUCGUUGGGAUUUUCUGAGGCGAAAAAUCUCUGGUUACGUCUUCCUUCGGAGCGGAAGUAAAAGAAGUUGGCCCGGCUCAUGAGUUGUUGAGUCUGAUAGGUAGGAACAGGUGGAGUCGCCUCCCUGAUGUCGGUGAUUGGCACUAAAAGUGGCGGAAAUAGGCCGACGAAAAAUAAGCGAAGAUAAAAAAAAAAAAGAAGCUUCUAUGAGUUUUUUUUCCAAUCGAAGCCUGGGGAACCGACUGCACAGCGGGGUGACAUCAUACAAAUGCUGGCCGAAUAAGUAAAUAAAUACCCAAAACAGUGGAGGCGAUCUGGCGUAGUGGUAACAUCCAUACCUCUCACGCAGAGAUCACGAGUUCAAUUCUCACUCCCGACAUUCUUCCAAAAAUGGAAGUAAAAGUGACGAAACAGCCGAAAUGUGUUGAAAGUCACUAUAAUAAAGAAAAAAAAAGAAAAAAAAAUACCCAAAACAUUUGUUUUAGAUGCAUGCUUUCAGGAAAGUCCACAACUAUUUUUGGUAUUUUGAUGUGGGUAACUGAACAUCUGCGCCACGCUCUAUUCAAUUAUAGCACUUGUCCACAUAGCUAAUAAUGGCAGAUGUUACAUAAAUUCAAUUUAUAAAUUGAUGCGUGCUCUAAAUAGUGAUAUCAAUUGUGAAGAACUCUGAUAUCAAUUGUAAAGAACUUCAAGUGUGUUUUGUUUGCCCGAAAUUUUUGAUGAAGCACCUUUUGUCAUGAUAGAGGCUUCCCUUCCUUUUUCCAUGUUAACACACCAACACACCGUGUAUUGAGUGGUGGUGAUCCAAUUCGCUCCUUUAACUCUACACACUGCCGUUGCUUAAGGUGAAAACGCAAGAGAAACUGUACACCAUGGUAAACAUUGGGAUCAAACAACGUAUAUCUAAACAUACUACGAAUACAAACAUGUCACAUUUGCAAACACCGGUACGAAAAAACAAUGUUUGUGUGCAAACACAAAACUGCGAGAGCAACAUUGUUAAUCUCGUACGCAGUGUUCAAUACAUUCAGAGGGCUGUACGUGGGGGAUGAAUUGAAUGCGAUACACACACAACGUCGCGUCACCGUCAAAUCAACUUAAAGGAAAAUGUCAAAUAUUAUCCCAUGGAAAUCGUAUGGUAGCAUUCACAUACAACUUCACCGGUAACUUUGACGUCGGCAAAAUUAGUCCAAGAGAAUAGUUUACGACAAGAUGAAUAGAAAGUAUUACUAAGGUGAGUCCGUAUCGUCAAUAAGUUAGCGAGGAGAGUGGUAAGCAGUGGUGAUUGUUGGCGGGGAUUGUUUACAAAAAAAGGCGGGAAGGGUAUAACUGAUUCGUACAAGCGUUAAAGAUUGUGUACUGUUUGAUUUUCAAAGCAUUUGAGUGAUUGGUUUGAGAAGCACUGUUUUACGGGGUAAGUUGUUCAAUAUUAUAAGAUGUGCACUAUAUGAAAGGCUUGUUCUGCUCAUAGAUGGCUCAUUACUGUGCUGUUCAUAGUUGCGGAACAACACGUUCGCACAGCAGGAAUACGGAGUUUACCACUACUGUGCAUGGACUACUCACGAAUGGGAGUUGGCUCUCUCAUUGGAUUGGCUUUUGUGGUCAAAAAACGGAUGGAAGCCUCAAACCAACCAAGGAAUUUGUGGAAAACAUUUUGCACCAUCCUACUACAUUGAGAAUACUUGCUCGAACUCAGUCAAGCGACGCCCGAAACUUAAUGCUGAUGCAUUGCCAGGAGAUCCCGACCAUUGGACUAUAUCAGAGGUGACCGCGAAUCAAUUCACUAAUUACGAUCUCCUUCUUCUGUAGAUUAUGAUAAAACAUACCCUGAGGCGAUAGAAAAUAUUGAGAUACCAGGUGGGUUUUUGUUAUUCAAUUUACUGCACGAGUUAGGUGAAAAGAACAAUUUCACGCGAAUGUUUGAUGAAUUCAAUUGGUAGAUUUGAUUAUGUUUUAUUUAGAUUACUUGUUGUUUGCAUGAUGUAUAACAUCUAGUAUAGAAAUUGUUCAUGUCAUUCUGAAAUUACUAUAGGUGUAAAUCAGAACAUUGAUAGCCUGGGAAAGUUGCCAGAUUGCAGUGCCAAAAACAUAAUAAUAUAUGUUCAACCGGAAAUCUGCAUUAGUAUAUGUAAAUGGAAAGAUUUUAAUAGCUGUUUAGUUGUUUUAAAUUAAUGAUUUAAUUGAGUGCUAAACAUGCAAUUUUCAGAAACACUCUGUAAUUUAUCAUUCUCUUGCCGGUUGGAAGCAACAUUAAGUAAAGAACAAUCUAGUCUAUGUAAAUCGAAGGUAUUUGACAUUUCUCUAUAAUGUAAGUAUUAACAAGUUUUUGUACAAAAUUUGUAGAUGCCACACUUCACAUCGUUCAUCUUCAGCACUUCUCGCUUUAAAUUCCAUCCUGAUUUCAACAAACUGUCUGCGUCUGAUAGAAUAAAAUAUUUUUGUAAGUAUUUCGAUCGCUAGACUGAAUAAAUUUUAGUUUUACUUAGAAUAUUACUUGCAGUGGGAGCAACGGCAGACUUAUACGUUACUUGUCAAGAUAUGCGAUCAACAUCUGGACAACAUAAAUUGUUCAUCGCCGCUUUAUGAACAAGAGUCACACCAAAUUCUGUUUCAUUGCCAACGAGCCGCAGUUCAUGAAGCAGAAGCAGACGAGCACAUUUAAUUUGAUGAGUAUUUACAUCAAAUUCAAUGUGCUCUACGUAAAAUGUAAAUUAUUAGAUAAUACCCUCCAAUUUCAGCACUAAUCAAAUUUUGUAAAUAACGUAUGUUUCUUGCAACCGAAUCAGCGAUGCAUCCACCGGACAACCACAGGAUAUACUUCAACAAGUUAGCCAAAUAGUGAUAAUGAUCAUCAAUGGAUCUACUUUAACCGUCAAUUUACUCAAACAAUUUCAGGCAUUUCAAAUAGAGAAGACAAUCUAGAUACAAAUCAACAAGGACCGCCAAUUGUAAUUUCGCAGCAUCUUUAAAUGGUGAUACAGCAGAUGCAACCCCCUAAGAAACAACAAACACCCCAGUAAAUUCUCCAAACAACGGUCAGGUUCAUCAAUAAAUAAAAUACAACGAUCGUUACUAUUGGUCAUAUCGUAACAGCAGCACAAAAUUGUUGAGGCUAUUUUUAAUUUUUGAAUUAUAUAUUUAUUUUUUUGAUUAUGUGCAUUACCUUUUGAGGCAAUCGCUCCUCAACAUGUGAGUGGUAAAAUAAAUUAAUAUAGUCAGAAAAUGACGAUCGUCCUGAAGAAAACAAUAUUAGAUAUUGUAGUGUAUAAAAAUGAAAAAAACAAUAAAACAAUAUUUAUAAAAUAUUAAAUAAUUAAAUACAGUUUCCCUUGGAGGAAAUAUAACUCUGUUAAACAUCGUUUAAUCAGUCAAUCGCGAUCGAUGUAUUUAUUUAUAAGUAUAAUUAUUCAGAUGUUUCUCCAAAUACUGAAAUAAAUCAACAUGAUGUUAAU